Molecule: long non-coding RNA, 150 nt
Organism: Sander lucioperca (pikeperch)
Lineage: Eukaryota; Metazoa; Chordata; Actinopteri; Perciformes; Percidae
Exons: 3
Source: RefSeq, a predicted model, not a curated record
UGCUACCGCAGUACUCGAUCAAUAAAAGAGCUAAGCUACUGAAAAGCUAUUCCGAAAACAGCGAUGCUAUUGAGAAGUAGUUAAACUAGUAACGAUACUGCCCAACACUGCUUGCAAUACAUGUUGGAUUUAGCAAAAACAACAACCUAA